AUGGCGGCGGCGGCGGCCGGCGGCGGGAGGGGCGGCGGGGCGCAGGCCGCGGUGGCGGAGCAGAUAGCGCAGGCGGUGCAGUCCACGUCCAACCUCCUCCAGCUCAUGGAGGAGUCCUCCCCGGCCCAGCGGAGGAGAGGCGCGGCGCGCUUGGCGGCUGUACGGGCGCCGGUGGCGGCGAGGGACCAGCGAGCAGAGCAUAGGGAAAGAAGGGGCAAUGAAAUUGCAUUUAAAUGGAACAUUAAAGUUGCUCACCUGGCAAAACUUCCCAAGAAACUCUUGGCAAAAGCAUCUCUUGCAAAGAACACAGGGCAGGUCCUGCAUCAACUACCUAGUGUAAUUUCUUCCUUGGAUGCUUAUAUGGACGCUAGUUUGCAAAGUGCUUCUCAAAUUAAGACUGUUACACAGCUCUUGUCAAACAUGGAGAAUAACCAGCUGAGAUCUAUCCUGCCUGCCUCUCGGUUAGAGAAAGCACAGAAGAAAACUGAGACUGGAGAACUCAGGAUUGAAUGAUAAGUUUACC
This 523-nucleotide long non-coding RNA is filed under the name Oryza sativa Indica Group (long-grained rice). RNAcentral's name for it is "lncRNA OsMH63_02G012260". The record is from RNAcentral. Lineage: Eukaryota; Viridiplantae; Streptophyta; Magnoliopsida; Poales; Poaceae.